Raphanus sativus (radish) is the source of this 2379-nucleotide RNA transcript. It is a transcript of the gene named flavonol 3-O-glucosyltransferase UGT71C4, with no coding region annotated. The transcript has 3 exons. Lineage: Eukaryota; Viridiplantae; Streptophyta; Magnoliopsida; Brassicales; Brassicaceae. The record is from RefSeq and is a predicted model, not a curated record.
AAAAACACACACAUUGGACAUGUCACACACGCUCAGAACAAAUGGUGUGAAAUGUGAUAAGUUUAUGUACACCACUAGAACAAACAAACCUCCAACACAGAAAAGAAAUGGUGAAAGAAACAGAGCUUAUCUUCAUCCCAGUUCCUUCCACAGGCCACCUUCUCGUCAACAUCGAGUUCGCCAAGCGUCUCAUCAGUUUCGACAAUCGGAUCAACACCAUCACCAUCCUCCAAUUACACUCACCGACCAGCCCGAACGCGUCAGUUUUCGCCAGAUCUCUCGUAGCUUCACAGCCCCAGAUCCGCCUCCACGACCUCCCCCUUCUCGACGAUCCUCCCCCGUUGGAUCUCUACUACAGAGCUCCCGAAGCCUUCAUAGUCCAGCUCGUCAAGAGAACCACUCCUCUGAUCAAAGAAGCCGUCUCCAGCAUCGUCGAUUCGCGUACUAACUCUCGUGUAGCUGGUUUGGUUCUUGAUUUCUUCUGCAACACGUUGAUUAAAGAUGUAGGCGACGAGCUUAACCUCCCUUCUUACAUAUUCCUAACGUGCAACGCUAGAUACUUGGGUAUGAUGAAAUAUCUCCCGGAUCGGCAUCGGAGAGUCGGGUCGAAGCUCGAUUGGAGCUCCGGAGAUGAGGAGUUAGCGAUUCCUGGAUUCGUUCACCCUGUUCCGGCGAAGUUUCUGCCGUCGGGUUUGUUCAAUGAAGAAGCUUAUUACGAGGCUUACGUUGAGCUAUCGCCGAGUUUCGGUAAAGCGAAGGGUAUUUUGGUAAAUUCGGUAGCGGAGAUUGAGCCGUAUACGUUCGGGUAUUUCUCUCGGCAGGAGAAUUAUCCUACGGUGUACCCGGUCGGACCGAUUCUCAGCUUGGAGGAUCGAGCGAGUCCUAAGGAAGAGGAGGAGGCUGGGGAUCGAGAUGGGAUCGUGAGAUGGCUUGAGGAUCAGCCGGAGUGUUCGGUGGUGUUCCUCUGUUUUGGGAGCAAUGGAAGCGUUGAUGAGUUGCAAGCGAAGGAGAUAGCUCAAGCGCUUGAAGUUGUCGGGUGUAGAUUUCUAUGGUCAAUCCGGACAAGUGUCGUAGGGACUAAACCGACCGAUGUGUUGCCGGAGGGUUUCAUGGGCCGUAUGGCGGGUAGGGGAUUGGUUUGUGGUUGGGCCCCGCAAGUGGAAGUGCUGGAACAUCAGGCGAUUGGAGGGUUCGUGUCUCACUGUGGUUGGAACUCCACGCUUGAGAGCUUGUGGUUCGGUGUUCCCGUCGCCACGUGGCCCAUGUACGCUGAGCAACAGCUGAACGCGUUCACGUUGGUGAAGGAGUUGGGGUUAGCUGUGGAUCUACGGAUGGAUUACGUGUCUGGUCGUGGAGGUUUAGUGACUUGUGACGAGAUAGCAAGAGCCAUCAGGUCUUUGAUGAACGAUGGGGAAGGGAGGAGGGUUAAGGUGAAGGAGAUGUCUGAUGCGGCGAGGAAGGCUGUGAUGGAUGGAGGAUCGUCUUCUUUGGCGACGGCUCGAUUCAUUGAUGAGUUGGUGGAAGAUGGUUCAUGCUAGUUCAAGUCGGUUUGAACUGGUUCAUAGUACAGAAGUGUGGUUGUAACUUGUUGGUGUUGAGGAAGAGACUGAAUUCAGCUACAAGUCGGAAAGAGAGGUACCUGUAUGUUGUGGGUCCGGUUUGAUGCAAGAACCACAUCGAAGUGAAGCUGAUGGCUAAACCGAGGAAGCCGCUUGCUGUUGCGGCUACCCAAAACAUUGCAUCUUGUGUCACAUCCCUGCCAAAAGUGUAAAACACAACGAACGUAAGGAUAAGAAAAUGACAAGAUACUAAAUUUCAGGACAGGUGUAGGUCGAUUUUAAUAGUUCUUACGUGCUUAUUACGUAUCUCCAUUCACCCAAUAAGAUGACAAGGAUUAUACCAAAAGGUAGUGACAAGAGAUUAUUCAGCAGCACCAUUGACACCUCAUUAAGGGAUCCAGAUUUUGUGGACUGUUUUGCUUUAUCCAUGACUCGGCGCAGAGUAAGCUGAGACAAAGAGUUGAACAAGAUCAUCAUUAUAGAGAAGUGUCUAUAUGAGAGAGAUGCAGAAGAUUGGAUAUUCCAGUUCCAAAAGCGUGGACUUACUGAAUAACUUGCGGUUAGAACGCAGUUGGCGGUCUGCCAUGUGUACCCUACAACAUUAAAUGUGAGAUCCGUGAUGCCACCGCUGAUUGCAGAGAUGAUCUACAGUGCAAACUCUUAGUUGGUAUCAUUUUUUUACAUCAGACAGGGGUUGCUACAGAUGUGCGAUUUUAACUUACCAUCAUGAACAUUGCAGCCCAAACCUUGUUGUUCUGCCUUUUUCGGAACAUGUAUAACUCCCCUAUCGCUGUAAUAAUAUUCGUUGCAUUCUUCAGAA